This 252-nucleotide long non-coding RNA is filed under the name Homo sapiens (human). RNAcentral's name for it is "HSALNT0388900". Lineage: Eukaryota; Metazoa; Chordata; Mammalia; Primates; Hominidae. The record is from RNAcentral.
UCAGAAGAGCCUAUCAAGGACUUGAGUACCAAACAAGCAUUUCCACAAAAAAGCAGUGACACAAAUCACUAUGUAAUAUAGUUAGCCUUUGAACAACACGGAUUUGAACUGCAGGGGUCUACUUAUGAGCAGAUUUUCUCCCACCUCUACCACCUGAGACAGCGAAGACUAAUCUUCCUCUUCCUCCUUCUCCUUAGCCUGCUCAACUUGAAGACUAUGAUGAAGAGUUAUAGAAUGAUCCACUUGCAUUUA